Lonchura striata (white-rumped munia) is the source of this 638-nucleotide non-coding RNA. The record is from RefSeq and is a predicted model, not a curated record. NCBI's taxonomy places the organism in Eukaryota, Metazoa, Chordata, Aves, Passeriformes, Estrildidae.
GCAAGAGAACAGCAGGCAUCUGGAGAUAAGGGCGCUGUGGCAUGUGUAAAACAGUGGAAUAUAAAUCCUGAAUCAAAUUCCUUCCUAAACAAAUGGACCAUGUGCAAGAUAAAGCAAACCACUGAGAAACAAGGCUGCUGAAAGAUGGAGUGCCUUUUCCCUAGAAGAGACUGUUGUCACUGUGAUCCUUGUCCCCAUCCCCUUUGGAGCAACUGUCUGCACCUCUCUGAUGUCCUUUGUCACUAUUUUAUGCCUAAUGGAGAAAGAGAAAAGCUGCUGUGUUUCCCUGAAUUUCAACAGCAUGGAUCAACAGUUCUGCAGACACUUGACCUGUCGCCAAAGGGAUGCCAUGGAAACAGCAUCGGGUGAAGAUGGCCAGGAACACACACCCAUGCAGGAGACCAUCACAACUAAUUAAUCUCCUGAUUAAAGAGAGCAUUGGCAAAAUCUCCAGCUCUUCCCUUCUGUGCUGAGCAGUUGCUAUUGGUCUAUGUUCAUGUGCAAAUAUACCUGAUAGGCAUGUGCUUGUUAUCUCUAGAUUUGUGUUUAUUUACCACUUCAAUUUUUAGUGAGGAUACAAUUCAGGAUACCAGUUCUUGGCCACUGUUUGUUUUGCAAAGUAAACAUGAAGCAAUUGA